This 468-nucleotide ribosomal RNA is filed under the name uncultured bacterium. RNAcentral describes it as "partial 16S ribosomal RNA". It matches the Rfam family "Bacterial small subunit ribosomal RNA", at positions 28 to 507 of the family's 1533-position model. The record is from RNAcentral.
GACGAACGCUGGCGGCGUGCUUAACACAUGCAAGUCGAACGGAAAGGCCCUGCUUUUGUGGGGUGCUCGAGUGGCGAACGGGCGAGUAACACGUGAGUAACCUGCCCUUGACUUUGGGAUAACUUCAGGAAACUGGGGCUAAUACCGGAUAGGAGCUCCUGCUGCAUGGUGGGGGUUGGAAAGUUUCGGCGGUUGGGGAUGGACUCGCGGCUUAUCAGCUUGUUGGUGGGGUAGUGGCUUACCAAGGCUUUGACGGGUAGCCGGCCUGAGAGGGUGACCGGCCACAUUGGGACUGAGAUACGGCCCAGACUCCUACGGGAGGCAGCAGUGGGGAAUAUUGCACAAUGGGCGGAAGCCUGAUGCAGCAACGCCGCGUGCGGGAUGACGGCCUUCGGGUUGUAGACCGCUUUCGCCUGUGACGAAGCGUGAGUGACGGUAAUGGGUAAAGAAGCACCGGCUAACUACGUG